GUGCUCGUGGUGUAACGGUUAACACUCAGCUCUGUGGAAGCUGUGAUGAGAGUUCGAUUCUCUCCGAGCACCCCG
RNAcentral lists this transfer RNA (75 nucleotides) under bacterium. Its description in RNAcentral is "tRNA-His". It matches the Rfam family "tRNA". Rfam says of the family: Transfer RNA (tRNA) molecules are approximately 80 nucleotides in length. Their secondary structure includes four short double-helical elements and three loops (D, anti-codon, and T loops). Further hydrogen bonds mediate the characteristic L-shaped molecular structure. tRNAs have two regions of fundamental functional importance: the anti-codon, which is responsible for specific mRNA codon recognition, and the 3' end, to which the tRNAs corresponding amino acid is attached (by aminoacyl-tRNA synthetases). tRNAs cope with the degeneracy of the genetic code in two manners: having more than one tRNA (with a specific anti-codon) for a particular amino acid; and 'wobble' base-pairing, i.e. permitting non-standard base-pairing at the 3rd anti-codon position. The record is from RNAcentral.